RNAcentral lists this long non-coding RNA (449 nucleotides) under Setaria viridis. RNAcentral describes it as "long non-coding RNA (SVIR_LNC005225)". The record is from RNAcentral. Lineage: Eukaryota; Viridiplantae; Streptophyta; Magnoliopsida; Poales; Poaceae.
GAGGAUCUGGGCAAAUGAGAAUCAAAUGAUGGAACGACACAUAAAUUAUUUGGACAAAGUUUGGAAGGCAAUGGGAGGGUAAAGGGUCGAAUGGAGGGAACCGGAUGAAGCACAGCUGUGCAUGUGUCAUCGAAGAACGUGGAUGUGAAGCGGACAUGUAUAUUCAGCAAAAGCAUGCAGUGCAAUGGUGAUCUUGGUGAAAUUGUUUAGAAAUAUUAGGUACAAAGAUCGUAGGAAAAGGGAAGGCGGUACAUGUACACAUUGCAAACAAGUGAUGAGGUAAAGCCCUUGAUGCCUCACUCAUAGCUCACGAAAGGAAGGCACCACUAGAACAAGAGGAUGUUACAGUUACCGCAAUAGCAGAGUAGUAAAUAUGCCACUAGAAAUCCAAGAGGAGAGAUCAUGUUUGGAUGCAAAGUAUUUUUGCAACAUUGAACAUAUACUACAUU